AGCGAACGCUGGCGGCAGGCCUAAAACAUGCAAGUCGAACGCCGUAGCAAUACGGAGUGGCAGACGGGUGAGUAACACGUGGGAACGUACCCUUUGGUUCGGAACAACACAGGGAAACUUGUGCUAAUACCGGAUAAGCCCUUACGGGGAAAGAUUUAUCGCCGAAGGAUCGGCCCGCGUCUGAUUAGCUAGUUGGUGGGGUAACGGCCCACCAAGGCUACGAUCAGUAGCUGGUCUGAGAGGAUGAUCAGCCACACUGGGACUGAGACACGGCCCAGACUCCUACGGGAGGCAGCAGUUAGGAAUCUUGGACAAUGGGCGCAAGCCUGAUCCAGCCAUGCCGCGUGAGUGAUGAAGGCCUUAGGGUUGUAAAGCUCUUUCAGCGGGGAAGAUAAUGACGGU
This 402-nucleotide ribosomal RNA is filed under the name uncultured bacterium. Its description in RNAcentral is "bacterial SSU rRNA". It matches the Rfam family "Bacterial small subunit ribosomal RNA", at positions 29 to 458 of the family's 1533-position model. The record is from RNAcentral.